GACGGGGGGCAAGUGUUCUUCGGAAUCACUGGGCGUAAAGGGCACGUAGGCGGUGAAUCGGGUUGAAAGUGAAAGUCGCCAAAAAGUGGCGGAAUGCUCUCGAAACCAAUUCACUUGAGUGAGACAGAGGAGAGUGGAAUUUCGUGUGUAGGGGUGAAAUCCGUAGAUCUACGAAGGAACGCCAAAAGCGAAGGCAGCUCUCUGGGUCCCUACCAACGCUAGGGUGCGAAAGCAUGGGGAGCGAACAGG
RNAcentral lists this ribosomal RNA (249 nucleotides) under uncultured bacterium. RNAcentral describes it as "partial 16S ribosomal RNA". It matches the Rfam family "Bacterial small subunit ribosomal RNA", at positions 526 to 776 of the family's 1533-position model. The record is from RNAcentral.